GUCAAAAGCCCCCUGCACCUUUUAGCCCCUUUUGGGAGGAGGGGUUUGGGACCGGGAUUCUCAGGUCCGGGAUGGGUCCCCUGGGCUGGGAGCAGGGGCGGGGCCUGCAGCGCCCGCCGCCUGCGCGGGGCGGGGCCGUCGAGAGCGGUCCGGGAGGAGGCCUACCGCACGGUCGCCCCGCGGGAACCCGGCGGCGGCCCCGCCUGCGCGCUUUACCCGUCGCCCUCCCGGGCCCGUCGCGCGCGCGUCCCUUUCGCUUUUAGCCCCAGCUGCGCUGACUGCUAGCGAUUACUCAGAAUCGUCCCUCCGGUUGGCAGAGUGACAAAAAUCGGCAGUGGCUGUCCGAGGACACCUGUUUACAAACAGGACCCCCGCCCCCAGCCGAAAGCACCCCAGGCCGAGAGCCCGGAAAUCUCGGUUCUCCUCCCACUCGGCCUCUCGCUCUCAGUGGGACUGGUUUCGGGCCUCAGUUUGCCUGUUUAUGUACUUGAUGUCAAGAAUGUGUGUGCAAUCGAACGAAAGGUGUGCGAGGUGGAAACAGCCUGACAUUUCUUUUAAGUCUUCUGUUUUCAGCUAUCAUUAUUUUGAAAAUUAUAUUCUUCUCCAUCGUAAUCUAUUUUAAUAAAUAUAUUUUUAAUUAAAAAAAAAGUAUGAUUGGUCACCCAGGAAAAGUAGUUUGUUACUUAUCCUGUGGUUCGAGUCCACUUGUUUGAAAUACCAGCAGCUCUGGAAGGCCCUUUCAAUUCCUUACGAUCUGUUAAUCUGAUUCGUGUGGUUAUUUUUUUUUUUAUUCUUCUCCUUUAAGACCUUUACAGUCUCACUGGUGACCGGCGGGAUGGGAGAAGACUGGAUUUUGCAGCCAGAUAUAUUCGGUUAGAAGUUCUUGGUUUGCCACUUUUUUCGCCUAUGGGACCUCGGUCAAGCCCCUUACACUUGGUAAGCCUCAGUCUCUCGUCUAUAAAAUGGGGAGGAUACUCCCAGGAUCGCGGGGAGAAUUCAGGACGAUAUUUGUCAAGGGCCUGCCACGCGCGGGGUGACCCACGGAAGAGGGUGCAGGUGGGUGGGGACUUUCUCGUGCUGGGUUUCUCGGCUCGGCUCAUCCUGGGGGGCCCGGAGUACCGCCCCCGCGCGACGGCUGAGCGUGGCGGACUCUCGGCCUCUCCCGGCGCGGCUGAGGCGGUCGUACCGGUUCCGAACCCUUCCCCCACCGGCCGGCUUCUGGCGGCAACCUGCAGGCAGAAGGCCAGGCUUUAUUUACACAAAAGCAGCGGGUGGAAGCUGGCCUUGUAAGGACGAAAGAAACGUUGGCGGGCCGGGAACGUCGCCGGGGGAGGCAGUAAAAGCGGUUCUGAUAGGAAUCUGUGAAUAAAUAAAUAACGUGAAUCAAAGAAUGCAUUGAAAUGCCCUCCUAGGAUCACAGAAACCCGACCCUAAGGCAGCCUUCGGAAUCCUCCCACACGUCCCACCCUAUCUGAUAACUUGUCAGAGGCCCAAAUUGAUUCUGGAGUUAUUAUCAAACCAGGACGCCUGCCACCCAGAUCCUACGGUCCUAGGGUGGCCUCUGGGGCGCACCUUCCGGGCUGGGAGUGAGACCUGGGUCUGAAACAAAGGGAAAGGGAACCCCGUUUUAUGAGCACCUACUCAUGUGCUAGGCAUUGUUCCUAUGCGGUUUCACGACUCCUCACACCACGCUUUGAGCAGGAUUCCGUACUCUGGUAGGCAGGGGAAGUUGCCUGCUCCAGAACACAAAAGCCGAUAGAUGGGACUGAAUUCCAAUACAGUUCUGUCCCUGGUUCCUUCCACCCAACCUUGCUGCCCCGGGCAGGGGGCAAGGAUAAAGCGCAAAAGGCGCGUUUGCAACUACAUUGGUGCGAUGACCUAGCUGUUUCUGGGCGCCGCCCCUUCCCUCCUUUUUCUUUACCUACCUACAGGAUGUCCAAAGCCUCUUGUAGUUCUACCUAUCAGCUGAUCGCUGCUGCCGCGCCCGCUCGCCUAAUUUAGCAGCCGGAAGUCGCAAGUCCGGCGACAGCUGACCUAGAGCCCUUAGUCUUAUCAUUGUCAAAGCCAGUGUUGGCCCAGAGGACACACAGGUGCGCCCAGGGCACGUAUUUCUCCAGCCUCCGCCCUAGUCACGGGGCUGCAUCCGGUCCAGGAGCCAAGGAAACUGGUCCAGCUGCUCCUUUCCCGGCAGGGCCCCGCCCACGCCCACCCCAGCGGAGGCCCAGAACAGGUUUCUUCACUUUCCCUGGCCCAGCUCCCGCCUCGGGCGACAAAGGGAAGCCGGUUGCUCAAUGUGCCUGAGGAUCGUUCUGGUUCGCAGGCAACUCGUGGACGAGCCAUCAGUCGGGUGGCCCCAACUCAAGCCACCAGGCACUGUACACCAGCUUGUGCACCGAGGUCUACCCAGCAAACCCUUAGGGUUCCUCAGGUGACACCUGGGCCCCUUGCUCUGUGCAGGGCCAGCCAGCAUCAGGUCCCAAGGGGAAGGUAACUUCAUACCCAUUUUACAGAUGAGGAAGCUGACUUGGACAAAUUAACAGGAUGGCUCAUGUCUGCCACCGAGCUUGUGGCAUUUGUUACAGCAGCCCUGGGAAACUAAUUGGAGCAGAACCAUGCCUUUCACUGCCUGCCUACCUGCCCCAGAAUCUUCUACCCUGCCAUGCAAACAGAGAAGACUCUUGAGAGUCCCUUGAACUGCAAGGAGAUCAAGCCAGUCCAUCCUAAAGGAAAUCAACCCUAGAUAUUCAUUGGAAGGACUGAUGCUGAAACUGAAG
Long non-coding RNA from Bos taurus (domestic cattle), 2774 nucleotides. The record is from Ensembl. NCBI's taxonomy places the organism in Eukaryota, Metazoa, Chordata, Mammalia, Artiodactyla, Bovidae.